RNAcentral lists this long non-coding RNA (400 nucleotides) under Phascolarctos cinereus (koala). Its description in RNAcentral is "lncRNA (ENSPCIG00000021116.2)". The record is from RNAcentral. Lineage: Eukaryota; Metazoa; Chordata; Mammalia; Diprotodontia; Phascolarctidae.
AUAUACAUAUGAUAAUUAACUGAGAAUUAAUGAGCCUUAAGAGCUGAAUUCUCCCCCUCCCUCCCUCACCUCCAGGGAAUCCUGAAUUGAUCCUGAGCUUCCUAUGGCUCAACAGUUGGGUAGGUGGGAGUAUCCAGUCACUUUCGAAGGCCCAUCUUCCCUCACAAUGUGAUUGCAUCUGACUGGGGUAGAUUGCCUGCAAUCUGCCUUGAGCACUCCUGCCAUCCAGAAAAUUCUGGCCCAGUGGGAGGAUCACCAAGAACACCAUACUCGGGGAAGGGACAUGGUGCAUGGUGCAUGGAGCUCAAAACCUAGCAGGGGAAAUGACCAACUACACAAAUAAUAUUGAUACAUGGUAAGUGCCUAAGAGAAGCGCCAUGUGAGGUCUAAUGUCUAAAGA